CCUUCAGUACUUCUUUGCAUUUUCAUUGUGGGUUAUACAAGAAUAUAUGUGAUUAUAUUAACUUUCGUUUUAUAUUCAACCUAAUAUGGAGACCUCAACACCGGGUAAACCAACAUAGGAGCUAUGACCCUGAGUGAAGGUCAGAUGGACUGUAGGGUUGUGGUAGUCCACGUUCUCUUCUGGCUCCUUUGUAAUGGGUUUCGGCGCAACAAUCACAUCAUCGGUUGUCAAGAUCUCCUCAGUUUUGUAUGUUAACACAUACUUGCCUUUAGGUGAAAGC
Molecule: long non-coding RNA, 280 nt
Organism: Notothenia coriiceps (black rockcod)
Lineage: Eukaryota; Metazoa; Chordata; Actinopteri; Perciformes; Nototheniidae
Exons: 3
Source: RefSeq, a predicted model, not a curated record